Molecule: ribosomal RNA, 619 nt
Filed under: Craspedolobium schochii
Lineage: Eukaryota; Viridiplantae; Streptophyta; Magnoliopsida; Fabales; Fabaceae
Description: eukaryotic LSU rRNA
Rfam family: 5.8S ribosomal RNA (bases 241-396)
Source: RNAcentral
UGCCUCACAAUCAGAUUGACCGGCGAAUUUGUUUACCCAUCCAGGGUCGGCUUGGGGUGUUGUUCGGCAACAUCUCAUCCUCCCUUGCGUUGGGAGGGGGUCGUGCCUCGCUCGGCCCACUCUCAACAAACACAAACCCCGGCGCAUCGCGCGCCAAGGAAUCCAAAAUUGUUCAGUGCAGUCCCGGGGGACCCGGAGACGGCGUUCCCCCGGUUCUUGCCACGACACACGAUACAAAAUGACUCUCGGCAACGGAUAUCUCGGCUCUUGCAUCGAUGAAGAACGUAGCGAAAUGCGAUACUUGGUGUGAAUUGCAGAAUCCCGUGAACCAUCGAGUCUUUGAACGCAAGUUGCGCCCGAAGCCAUUAGGUUGAGGGCACGCCUGCCUGGGUGUCACACAUCGUUACCCUCACGCAAAUGUCUCGCGUUGGCCGGCCAUUGCGCAGGGUGCAUGCUGACUUCCCGCGAGCGUCGUGCCGCGGUUGGUUGAAAACUGAGUUCGUGGCCGAGUGCGCCAUGAUAAAAUGGUGGAUGAGCAAGGCUCGAGACCAAUCAUGCGCGCCUCUGUCAGGUUUGGACUCCCGGACCCCUGUGCGUCUCCGGACGCUCUUAGCGAGAC